AUUGAACGCUGGCGGCAUGCUUUACACAUGCAAGUCGAACGGCAGCGCGGGCUUCGGCCUGGCGGCGAGUGGCGAACGGGUGAGUAAUACACCGGAACGUGCCCAGCAGGGGGGGAUAGCUCGGCGAAAGCCGGAUGAAUACCGCAUACGACCUGAGGGUGAAAGCGGGGGAUCUUCGGACCUCGCGCUAUUGGAGCGGCCGAUGGCAGAUUAGCUAGUUGGUGGGGUAAAGGCCUACCAAGGCGACGAUCUGUAGCUGGUCUGAGAGGACGACCAGCCACACUGGGACUGAGACACGGCCCAGACUCCUACGGGAGGCAGCAGUGGGGAAUUUUGGACAAUGGGCGAAAGCCUGAUCCAGCAAUGCCGCGUGUGUGAUGAAGGCCUUCGGGUUGUAAAGCACUUUUGGCGGGAACGAAAAGGACUGUGCCAAUACCACGGUUCGAUGACGGUACCCGCAGAAUAAGCACCGGCUAACUACGUG
Molecule: ribosomal RNA, 484 nt
Filed under: uncultured bacterium
Lineage: Bacteria
Description: partial 16S ribosomal RNA
Rfam family: Bacterial small subunit ribosomal RNA
Source: RNAcentral